Long non-coding RNA from Micropterus salmoides (largemouth bass), 692 nucleotides. RefSeq lists it as uncharacterized. NCBI's taxonomy places the organism in Eukaryota, Metazoa, Chordata, Actinopteri, Centrarchiformes, Centrarchidae. The transcript is spliced from 3 exons. The record is from RefSeq and is a predicted model, not a curated record.
GUGGCCUUCAUUUGCACGUGUCUCCUUACAAACGACCUGAAACGCCGCCUCGCCGUUGAAACCAAUUGCUCCAACAGGGCAAACCUCACACCUGCUAAUGAUCACGAGCGGAUCGCCCAUCGAAAAACGACUAUUAACACCUCAGUAUUUAGAUGAGCUCUGCAGGGGUCGUUCUGGUAUGUGCAUCAGAGGGCGUUUCACCUCCCAGAGUCUUUAAAAUCGACUGUUGGCCUCCUGCAUUAUAUUUUAAAUUCGGGGCAGGUCGUCCAACCGUGGGACAUGAGCAUACAGACUUAUAGGCUAUUUUUAUGUUGCUUAUCGAUUAUUACCGAGAUGUAAACGCAAGCGUCUGUUUGGAAAAUAGGUUAUUUAGUGACAACAAUGAAACAUCAGCGUCCCCUAUGUUUUAAGGGUUUAAUGAGCGCUUCUAUUAACCACCGAUAUCAAUCACAAGACUGGAAGUUUCCGUUUUCACCACAAUGGAGACUGUCUCAUUAAGAUUUGCAUGAUUUUUGGACGAGGAAUGCAAAUGAAGAUGCAAUUUACGCACGGUCUGCUGUUCCUAUUGUGCCGCCGUGAAUAGUUGCGUCCUCCCAGUUCAACACAGGUGUUCCAUCACAGAACGGCUGUAUAUGGAGUUUUGUAGUCAUCAUAAGAGAGGAUGGGAAAGGACGAAGCAGGAAGAUCAGUAA